Molecule: transfer RNA, 74 nt
Filed under: Eryx miliaris
Lineage: Eukaryota; Metazoa; Chordata; Lepidosauria; Squamata; Erycidae
Description: tRNA-Asn
Source: RNAcentral
UAGGCUAAGGUCCAGUUGGCUUGGACAUCUAAUUGUUAAUUAGUUUUUUGUGGGAUCGACGCCCACUAGUCUAG